Long non-coding RNA from Brassica rapa (field mustard), 4458 nucleotides. RefSeq lists it as uncharacterized. NCBI's taxonomy places the organism in Eukaryota, Viridiplantae, Streptophyta, Magnoliopsida, Brassicales, Brassicaceae. The record is from RefSeq and is a predicted model, not a curated record.
UUCUGUUGAUCCUUGUAGCUGCGAUCGUCUUAGCUUUCUAUUUCCUCCCCGUCGAGCAGCUUUUGAGGGAUUUUUUAUUAUGGGUUGAACAAGAUCUAGGGCCUUGGGGACCGCUUGCCCUGUAAGUGUUUCUCCUUUUUGCUUUUUUUUUUGAGCUAUGAAACUAAUUAUGUUCUUGAGUGAGUUGUAGCUGUGAGCUUAUUAAGCUUUUAUAUCUGUUUAACCAUGGGUUUGGAAACAUAAGAGUUAGGAGGCCUUUUUACCUAGUUACUGAACAUCUCUUUUUUUUUUUUUUUUCCGUCGAAAAGUUUUUAAUAUUAAAAACGGGCCAAACCCAAUACAAAUAACAAACAUCCAAAUUGCAAACUCGCUUCUCAAUUGGGCCACACAAUCCGGCCCAACUUGAUGAAAACCCUAGACCCUUCACGCGAUUGACUUCGCCGCCUCGCAGAUCAGCCUCUCUGCUGCUUGGACACGUGUUGCCAUCCUCGCCGUCGAGGAUACACGUGUUGCGAGGACACCCCGUCACCACCGCUUCGCGUUUCUGCCGGAGAUCCAAACAUCCGAUCUUCCGACCACCCCGGAACUCAAAAGCUCCAUCAAUCUUCUCCUCAACCAUCUUUGGGUCUCUAAAAACCGGAGGUAAUCAAUCGCCGCGGCGAGAUCUCCUCCAACACCGUUCACCACAGACCCCCAAGAAGAAACGUCACAUGCAUCGCCACUCUUUCCGCCGGAGAACUUCCCUCUCCUCCGACGACCGACAAACAACCGAAUCAUAAUAAAACCAAGAUAAAAAACAAAACCCUAAAAGAUAAGGGACCUACGGCCGGCGACGCAAGGCUGUGGAAGCCUUCACCCCCCGGAGACCAUAGCCGAUGACGGCGGAACUGAAGGAGCUUCCCCGCCACGGAGACAAAAGGCCGGCGACGACGGAUCUGUGGUAGCCUCCAUCUCCCGGAAAUAUUACUCGAUCUACUAAAGUCUUAACCCCACCAUCAUUCCGGCACCCGCGUCGUGACUCCAGGUCAAAACCACGCCGGAUGGUGGCUGACCAGCGCUCAGACAGUCGGAAACCAGAGGAGGCGAGGAAAAGACAAGAAACUUGUCAUUAUUUCGAAAGGAAAAAACGGGUUCCGGCGGCGGCACGGACGCUCACGCGCCGGCCGACCGCCGCACCCCUCUGAGUUUUUACUUUUCACUCUCUUUCUCUCUCCAACUCCUUUCCCGACUGAACAUCUCUUUCUUUUGUAAUAUGUGUAGAACAUAGAUUAAAAAAUUAUUCAAAAAUCUUCUUUUUUACUCUUCGUAUUUUUGAGAUGCAACUACUAUACAUGAACAAAACCAGCAAGUUCAUAAGUCACGGAGGGAAAGUAUACUCGAUUAACUCCAAAAUCUAUUGGGCCAUAAUUUAGGCCCAUUUAUUAAGUAAUCCUAAUCUAACAUUUGUAUACUGAAAUGAAUUAAUUAGCAGGUGAAAAAUUAGCAAAGUACCAAACUACUCCAAUGGCGGACAAAAAUAUCUUCCAUUGUCUAGUCUUUUCUUUUUGUGUGUGCGAGGUUUUUCUAGCAAAGACCAAAAAAGAAAGAAAGUAGGUGUAUGAAUUUUUGAGAGAUUGAUUGAUUAUAGGGUUGAUAAACAAUGGUGGUGAGAUAUCAAUUUUUCUGAGUUAAUUGGAUUUGCUUUGGAAAGUAAUUAAGACGAUAUAAUGAUUGUGCAUAUUAUGUAAAAGAAAUCUUAGAUAUAUAGUAAGAAACUCCACCAAAUUUACUAAGAUGAAAUUUGUGAAAAUAAUGUCUAGAAAGAAUCUUACAGAAAUAGAAAAAUUAACAAACCAAUGGAGGAUAAUAUGUUAACAAUUUUCACAAUAUAUAAUUUAGUUAUGGGUCCAGUCGACUGUUUCAGUUUCACUGAAUAUUAUUUUCUCCACUCACAUCUGUUUAGGUAAGCAAAACUAUUUACCGUUCCAUGAUCCUGGUCUUGCGUAAAAUGCCCAUCUAUCGUUCUGAUCUGCUAUCAUUGUCUUGCUGAUAAGCAAAGAAAAAAGGAAGGAAGAGACAAUCAUCUCCAUGUUCUUGUUACACUACGAUUGCAUCAGCUGCAGAGAAACUCAGGACAUUAAUCAAUCACUAAUGCUUGUAUCAGAUUUUCUCUUCUAUAUAAUUGAACUAGGGGUUGGCCCGCCCUACGGACGGGUGAUUUUACACUAAAAUAAUUUUAUAUCAAAAUAUAUUAUAAUGUUAUAAAAUAUUUUAAAUUUUAUUUUUUACUGGAUAUAAUAAAUGUAAUCUCUUUUAAUUCUAAAAUUAUAUUUUAAAUUAUAUUAUAUUUUGUUGGUUUUGAAUUAAAAAGACCACUAACAAUUCUUUUUUUUUGUCAGAUAACACAAAAUUAUUAAAUUAAAAAUUAAAGAAAAUAUAAUGAUUUAUAUUUUUUUAUAUUUGAUUUUCAUUUCAGUUUGAUGUAAUUGAAGAAAUCUAAAGUAAGAACAACUAAUUUUUUUUUAUUUCUAAGAGUAUCAGAUUUUAAUAUUAUUAUAAUAACUAACUUUUCACGAUAAUAAAUUAAUACUACCACCUCCAAGCUAAAUCAAUUUAAAAUCAAAUCUAAUGUGAUAAAAUUAUAAAAAUUUAUAUUUUAAAGUAAUAUAUGAAUAGUUUCGAUGAUGUCAUAAAUAAUUAGUAUAUAUUAUGUAACAACAAUUGAUGUUUUAUAAUAUAUGUGUGUUUCAGUUUAUAUUAGAUUUUCAAUUUAUAAUGAAAAUUUUCUUUAGUUUAUAAUGUUUGACUAAUUAUGUUUUUGUAGAUUAUUUUAGCAUUGGCUGAACUUUUUAUAAAAAAAAACUUGUUGGAAAUUUCUCUCAUGCUGAUUGAAAAUAUUUUUAUAGAUUAAUGGUGUUAUAAAUUAAUAAAAUAUUAUAUUUCUAGCAGAACUUUACUUGAGUUUCAUACCCUAUGAUAUCAAAUAAAACAUAAUUAUUAAUAAUCUAGAAAUUAAGCUGAACCAAACUCGAUACAAAUGUCUUUUGGAAAUUGUUUUUUUUUCUUUGAACGAUAAACUAAAGAAAGUAACUAACUUUUUAAUCUUUUCCGUGUUGGCUGUAUUGAAUGCAAGUAUAUAAUUCCUAUCUAAUCAAACAUAGAAAAUCAUAUAUAAUUGCAUAACAAAAUAGAGCAAAACAACAUAUUAGCUUUAUAUUCCAGCGCAAAACAAUCAAAGAAUAUGUCAUUAAGCAAACAAUUAUGCACAUCAAAACUGCAGAGUUUCUAUAUCGAAACUUACAAUGAUUUUUCAAUUAUUUCUGGAGAUCCAUCAUUCUGUUUCUUACUAAUUUUGCUGCUCCAUAAGCUUUGAGACUUGUUAUCAAUUCUAUGUUACGGGUAUAACUCACGUAAAUUAGGAAGUGUCCUCCUGUGAGAACAUAAAUAAUGGAGAAGUACGUUAGCGACUGAUGGGAGGAGACCUCUACGAUUUGCUACUAAUAUUGAACCUUACGUAGAUGGCGUUACCAGUUACCACACCCUAUAUCUCCAUGUAUGAAUCCAGACGCCAAUUGAAGAAAGAGUAAAUAAUUAAGCAUAAAAGUCCUAAGAUAGUGGGAUUCUUGAAGCGUUUAUUUAUUAAAUGUGACUGUGAGAACUCUUUUAUUAAUGACUUCAACAUUCUAUUGAUACAGGUGAGUAGCACAUUUAAAUUAAUGACUCUGAGUGGACUACCUUACAAUAGUUUACUAUUGAAUGGGAUUACCUUACAAUAGUUGUUUUUAAAGGUGCUGAUUACUUUUUUUUCCAAUCACGUAGAACAUUUAGGGUAGGUGAAUCUUAAACUAAUCUCCCAAAUUAUAAUUUGGACCUUACCAAGUGUCUCCUAGAGUUUUUUUUUGUUGUCAAAAUGUGAAUUUCAUAUUAAAUAUGAGAAAUAUUAAGAAGUAACAUAAUGAAAAGGGAGACACACAUAAGUUACAAAAAAAAGGGAGGCACGCGAUCUUAAACUUUAUGGUGGACCAAAUAUCUAAACCCUUAUUUGUAAAACUUGAACUAAGAGAACUAAGUUAUGCGUGGCAGCAAACGAAAAUAAGUCUGCAUGCCAAUGAGUUACGUGGGAUUAUUUCUGGACUAUGAGGAAACUUGUGAAGGUGCUAAAGCAUACUGCGUCCACCAUUACAGUCUCGAGCUUCUUUACACCAGUGUAAAGCAUCCCACUUGCGGAGACAAUGCUGGCUGGUGCACACAAAGACACAACAUGGUAUGUGAGAUUAAUGCAAACAAUUAGAGAGACAUGUGGACAUGUAGACUCUCGAGAUACUUCGUCGCUCAUCCUCUUUUGCUUCAUAAAGAUGGUAGGUUGAAGGAUCGUAUCAAUUCCAUCUGUCCCUCUUGCCAUCAUAGUCGAGUUCACGGUCUAUCCAUACACGCCUUAGCAUUGUGCGUCUUACAUCACAAUUUAAAAAAACGGGAAAA